Molecule: ribosomal RNA, 497 nt
Filed under: uncultured bacterium
Lineage: Bacteria
Description: partial 16S ribosomal RNA
Rfam family: Bacterial small subunit ribosomal RNA
Source: RNAcentral
GACGAACGCUGGCGGCGUGCCUAAUACAUGCAAGUUGAGCGCUGAAGGUUGGUACUUGUACCAACUGGAUGAGCAGCGAACGGGUGAGUAACGCGUGGGGAAUCUGCCUUUGAGCGGGGGACAACAUUUGGAAACGAAUGCUAAUACCGCAUAAAAACUUUAAACACAAGUUUUAAGUUUGAAAGAUGCAAUUGCAUCACUCAAAGAUGAUCCCGCGUUGUAUUAGCUAGUUGGUGAGGUAAAGGCUCACCAAGGCGAUGAUACAUAGCCGACCUGAGAGGGUGAUCUGCCACAUUGGGACUGAGACACGGCCCAAACUCCUACGGGAGGCAGCAGUAGGGAAUCUUCGGCAAUGGACGAAAGUCUGACCGAGCAACGCCGCGUGAGUGAAGAAGGUUUUCGGAUCGUAAAACUCUGUUGGUAGAGAAGAACGUUGGUGAGAGUGGAAAGCUCAUCAAGUGACGGUAACUACACAGAAAGGGACGGCUAACUACGUG